AUUAGAGUUUGAUCAUGGCUCAGAACGAACGCUGGCGGCGUGGUUUAGGCAUGCAAGUCGAACGAGAAAGUUCUCUUCGGAGGACGAGUACAGUGGCGUAAGGGUGAGUAAUACCUAGAUAACCUACCCACAAGUCUGGGAUAACAGCUGGAAACGGCUGCUAAUACCGGAUAGUUCCGCGAGAGCUCUGGCUCUUGUGGCUAAAGAUGGGGACCCUUCGGGGCCUGUCGUUUGUGGAGGGGUUUAGGCACUACCAGCUUGUUGGUGGGGUAACGGCCUACCAAGGCUAUGACGGUUAGCCGGCCUGAGAGGGUGUUCGGCCACACUGGGACUGAGACACUGCCCAGACUCCUACGGGAGGCUGCAGUCGAGAAUCUUCGGCAAUGAGCGAAAGCUUGACCGAGCGACGCCGCGUGAAGGAUGAAGGCCCUCGGGUUGUAAACUUCUGUCAAGUAGCGAGAACACCAGGGUGUUAAUAACACCCUGCCUGACAAGCUGUUGAAGGAAGCCACGGCUAACUCUGUGCCAGCAGCCGCGGUAAUACAGAGGUGGCGAGCGUUGUUCGGAAUCACUGGGCAUAAAGGGGGUGUAGGCGGCGUAGAAAGUCAGGUGUGAAAUCCCUCGGCUCACCCGAGGAACUGCGCCUGAUACUCCUAUGCUUGAGUUUAGGAGGGGAGAGUGGAACUCCUGGUGGAGCGGUGAAAUGCGUAGAUAUCGGGAGGAACACCAGUGGCGAAAGCGGCCCUCUGGGCUGUACCUGACGCUGAGGCGCGAAAGCGUGGGGAGCAAACCGGAUUAGAUACCCGGGUAGUCCACGCCCUAAACUAUGGAUGCGGGGUAUGAGGGGUAUCGA
This 853-nucleotide ribosomal RNA is filed under the name uncultured Planctomycetota bacterium. RNAcentral describes it as "bacterial SSU rRNA". It matches the Rfam family "Bacterial small subunit ribosomal RNA", at positions 1 to 835 of the family's 1533-position model. Lineage: Bacteria; Pseudomonadati; Planctomycetota. The record is from RNAcentral.